CGUAACGACUCUCGGCAACGGAUAUCUCGGCUCUCGCAUCGAUGAAGAACGUAGCAAAAUGCGAUACGUGGUGUGAAUUGCAGAUCCCGUGAACCAUCGAGUUUUUGAACGCAAGUUGCGCCCGAAGCCUUUAGGCCGAGGGCACGUCUGCCUGGGCGUCACGC
This 164-nucleotide ribosomal RNA is filed under the name Urtica lalibertadensis. RNAcentral's name for it is "5.8S ribosomal RNA". It matches the Rfam family "5.8S ribosomal RNA". From Rfam's summary of the family: 5.8S ribosomal RNA (5.8S rRNA) is a component of the large subunit of the eukaryotic ribosome. It is transcribed by RNA polymerase I as part of the 45S precursor that also contains 18S and 28S rRNA. Functionally, it is thought that 5.8S rRNA may be involved in ribosome translocation. The record is from RNAcentral. Lineage: Eukaryota; Viridiplantae; Streptophyta; Magnoliopsida; Rosales; Urticaceae.